GACGAACGCUGGCGGCGUGCUUAACACAUGCAAGUCGAACGGAAAGGCCCUGCUUUUGUGGGGUGCUCGAGUGGCGAACGGGUGAGUAACACGUGAGUAACCUGCCCUUGACUUUGGGAUAACUUCAGGAAACUGGGGCUAAUACCGGAUAGGAGCUCCUGCUGCAUGGUGGGGGUUGGAAAGUUUCGGCGGUUGGGGAUGGACUCGCGGCUUAUCCGCUUGUUGGUGGGGUAGUGGCUUACCAAGGCUUUGACGGGUAGCCGGCCUGAGAGGGUGACCGGCCACAUUGGGACUGAGAUACGGCCCAGACUCGUACGGGAGGCAGCAGUGGGGAAUAUUGCACAAUGGGCGGAAGCCUGAUGCAGCAACGCCGCGUGCGGGAUGACGGCCUUCGGGUUGUAAACCGCUUUCGCAUGUGACGAAGCGUGAGUGACGGUAAUGGGUAAAGAAGCACCGGCUAACUACGUG
Molecule: ribosomal RNA, 468 nt
Filed under: uncultured bacterium
Lineage: Bacteria
Description: partial 16S ribosomal RNA
Rfam family: Bacterial small subunit ribosomal RNA
Source: RNAcentral